RNAcentral lists this long non-coding RNA (248 nucleotides) under Panax ginseng (ginseng). Its description in RNAcentral is "long non-coding RNA (PGIN_LNC007072)". The record is from RNAcentral. Lineage: Eukaryota; Viridiplantae; Streptophyta; Magnoliopsida; Apiales; Araliaceae.
AGGUAAAGAUAUAUCAUGAUGGAAAGAGUUUGAAUAAUAAGUAGCUGGCUAUCCUUCACAAUGUAGUUGUGAAUUAGCAUGAACAAAAUUUCAAAGCUGAAUGAACAUUGAAAAUGAACAUAACAAUUAUAUCUGAACUGACUGGUAAUGAAGGUGAUCAGCCUUUCAUACCUGAUGAAUACAUGCAAUAUGUACAGAGUACAAUUCAUAAGCAUAUCUGUCUGAAACCACUCUUAAAAGAGUUUAAG